AACAGGUGAGCCUGCGUUAGUCGACUCAACGCCGGAAACUCACCAGAUAAGACAGCUGAAUGAUAGUCGGGCUGAAGACUCUACUUGACUAGCUGAGAGGAGGUGCAUGGCCGUCGUCAGUUCGUACUGUGAAGCAUCCUGUUAAGUCAGGCAACGAGCGAGACCCACGCCAACAGUUGCCAGCAUGUCCUCCGGGAUGAUGGGGACACUGUUGGGACCGCCUCUGCUAAAGAGGAGGAAGGAAUGGGCAACGGUAGGUCAGCAUGCCCCGAAUUAUCCGGGCUACACGCGGGCUACAAUGGUCAGGACAAUGGGUAUCGACACCGAGAGGUGGAGGCAAUCUCCUAAACCUGUCCUUAGUUCGGAUUGUGGGCUGCAACUCGCCCACAUGAAGCUGGAAUCCGUAGUAAUCGCGUUUCAAAAUAGCGCGGUGAAUAUGUCCCCUGCUCCUU
This 452-nucleotide ribosomal RNA is filed under the name uncultured Methanolinea sp. RNAcentral describes it as "bacterial SSU rRNA". It matches the Rfam family "Archaeal small subunit ribosomal RNA", at positions 883 to 1338 of the family's 1478-position model. Lineage: Archaea; Methanobacteriati; Methanobacteriota; Methanomicrobia; Methanomicrobiales; Methanoregulaceae. The record is from RNAcentral.